AGCUUAAUAGGUUACAUAGGUUUGACUAUCAAUUUUCAAAAUUGGGGGGGGUGUUGAUAGCCUUAGGCUG
Molecule: transfer RNA, 70 nt
Filed under: Trichobilharzia regenti
Lineage: Eukaryota; Metazoa; Platyhelminthes; Trematoda; Strigeidida; Schistosomatidae
Description: tRNA-Trp
Source: RNAcentral